CGAAGAAGAAGCAGCUCGUCAUGUACGUUGUCAGAGAAGCUUACAAACAGAAACGGCAAAUAGAAUAUUAUACAAGUUUCCUGAAUAUUAUCCAAUAUUAUCAAUGUGGUUGAAGGCGAGUGAUACGCAGUGUCUUCCACAGAUUACGAUGAAUGUUGUCAAAGAAAUUGUGGGGUUGGAGAAGGGCUUUAAAUUGGAUGUUUCAAUAUUGACAACUUUGAAGCUUGAGGGCGACUUGUUUCAGAUCUAUGAGGAAGUCAGAGAUGCCACAUAGCUGGAGAGUAGGCAGGCAAAACUGGAGAACUGAAGGACUGAUUUAUUGUUCACAUUUUAAAAUGAAGUUUCUAUGAAUUUCUACAUUUAUAGAAAUGUACGGAUGAUGAAUCUAUUCAUUUUUUUUUUUUUUUUUUUUUUUUUAAGGAGAUGUUAAGCAGAAUGACAGGCUUAGUAACCAGUCACUUUCUUUACAUCUUUUUUCCAUACAAUAAAGAUAAUGGUGACUGAGUUUGUCUUACAUCUUCUUUUGUGUUCCACAGCAGAUGGAGUAUUGGUCUAGAAUGGCAUGAGGGUGAGUGAAUGAUGACAUUAAAGCUGCAGUAGGUAACUUUUGUAAAAAUGUAUUUUUUACAUAUUUGUUAAACCUUUCAUUAUGUCCUGACAGUAGAAUA
This is a long non-coding RNA of Megalobrama amblycephala (Wuchang bream), 668 nucleotides long. RefSeq lists it as uncharacterized. The record is from RefSeq and is a predicted model, not a curated record. Lineage: Eukaryota; Metazoa; Chordata; Actinopteri; Cypriniformes; Xenocyprididae. The transcript has 3 exons.